This 298-nucleotide ribosomal RNA is filed under the name Salmonella enterica subsp. enterica serovar Infantis. Its description in RNAcentral is "partial 23S ribosomal RNA". It matches the Rfam family "Bacterial large subunit ribosomal RNA", at positions 1223 to 1524 of the family's 2925-position model. RNAcentral also lists the same sequence under 4 other names. Lineage: Bacteria; Pseudomonadati; Pseudomonadota; Gammaproteobacteria; Enterobacterales; Enterobacteriaceae. The record is from RNAcentral.
GUUGGGUAGGGGAGCGUUCUGUAAGCCUGCGAAGGUGGCCUGUGAGGGUUGCUGGAGGUAUCAGAAGUGCGAAUGCUGACAUAAGUAACGAUAAAGCGGGUGAAAAGCCCGCUCGCCGGAAGACCAAGGGUUCCUGUCCAACGUUAAUCGGGGCAGGGUGAGUCGACCCCUAAGGCGAGGCCGAAAGGCGUAGUCGAUGGGAAACGGGUUAAUAUUCCCGUACUUGGUGUUACUGCGAAGGGGGGACGGAGAAGGCUAUGUUGGCCGGGCGACGGUUGUCCCGGUUUAAGCGUGUAGG